AGUACACGCUUGUCUCAAAGACUAAGCCAUGCAUGUCUGAGUUAUUUUAAACUGCGAAUGGCUCAUUAAAACAGUUAUUGUUUACAGAUAUUUGGCUUUAAAUGGAUAUCCGUGGUAAACCAGAGCUAAUACAUGCGUUACGUCCGACUUUCUACGAAGGACAGUAUUUACCCUAAGCUACCUCUUGGUAACUGAGUAACUGAUCGAAUCGCCAUUUUGUGCGAUGAAUCUACAAGUUUCUGCCCUAUCAGCUAGACUGAAGUGUCUUGGACUACAAUGGCCGUCACGGGUAACGGGGAUUAGGGUUCGAUACCGGAGAGGGAGCCUGAGAAACGGCUACCACUUUUACGGAAGGCAGCAGGCGCGUACAAUACCCAAUCCUAAUUCAGGGAGGUUGUGACAAGAAAUAACAGACCGGAUUCCGGGUUUGCAAUGGGUUACACUUACACUCAAACACUAGGAACCAUUGGAGGGCAAGUCUGGUGCCAGCAGCCGCGGUAAUUCCAGCUCGAAUAGCGUGAGUUAAAUUUGUUGCAGUUAAAAGCUCGUAGUUGGACUUCUGAACUCAGCAAUCGCUUCCUGCGCUUGUUGGCUUCAUCCAUCUGUCAACGGUUCAUGGUCUUGUCGACUGGUUCCGGGCUCUGAUACUGACCAUGAGGAAAUUAGAGUGUUCGAGGCAGGCUUGCGCCCGAAUACGUUAGCAUGCAUUCCAUCCAGCUUGCAAAGGUGUUUCACCUAGUUUUAAGGUUAACUGCGGACAGUUGGGGCGUUGUAUUCCAUUGCCAGAGGUGACAUUCUUUAACCUAUGGAAGACAAAUGGAUGCGAAAGCCAUCUGCCAAGAAUGUUCGCAUCAAAUCAGGAGCUAAAGUUAGGGGAUCAAAGACGAUCAGAUACCGUCCUAGUCUUAACCAUAACCAAUGCCGACUAGCGAUCGGGGGCGCGCGCUUUCCGCCUUCGGCAGCUUUCGAGAUAUCAAAGUCAGGUUCUGGGGGAAGUAUGGUCGCAAGGCUGAAACUUAAAGGAAUUGACGGAAGGGCACCACCAGGAGUGGAGCCUGCGGCUUAAUUUGACUCAACACGGGGAAACUCACCAGGUCCAGACAUAGGAAGGAUUGACAGAUUGACAGCUCUUUCUUGAUUCUAUGGGUGGUGGUGCAUGGCCGUUCUUAGUUGGUGGAGCGAUUUGUAGUGGUUAAUUCCUGUACGAACGAGACCUUAGCCUGCUAAUUAGUCGUCACGCCGAGGCUUCGAUGACUUCUUAGAGGGACGAUGUGCGAAACACAGGGAAGCCUUAGGCAAUAACAGGUCUGUGAUGCCCUUAGAUGUCCUGGGCCGCACGCGUGCUACACUGAUACUGACAAAAAGUCACCAGGGCCGAGAGGCUACGGGUAACCUGCAAUCAGUAUCGUGAUUGGGAUAGAUCCUUGCAAUUCGGGAUCUUGAACGAGGAAUUCCUAGUAAGUGCAAGUCAUCAUCUUGCGCUGAUUAAGUCCCUGCCCUUUGUACACACCGCCCGUCGCUUCUACCGACAGAGUGGUCAGGUGAGACUUUUGGAUCGCCGGGUAACCGCGCGAGAAAUCAAUCGAGCCCAAUCACUUGGAGGAAGAACAAGUCGUAACAAGGUUUCC
This 1628-nucleotide ribosomal RNA is filed under the name uncultured eukaryote. RNAcentral describes it as "SSU rRNA". It matches the Rfam family "Eukaryotic small subunit ribosomal RNA". The record is from RNAcentral.